This 478-nucleotide ribosomal RNA is filed under the name uncultured bacterium. RNAcentral describes it as "partial 16S ribosomal RNA". It matches the Rfam family "Bacterial small subunit ribosomal RNA", at positions 28 to 523 of the family's 1533-position model. The record is from RNAcentral.
GACGAACGCUGGCGGCGUGCUUAACACAUGCAAGUCGAACGAUGAAGCCUUUCGGGGUGGAUUAGUGGCGAACGGGUGAGUAACACGUGGGCAAUCUGCCCUGCACUCUGGGACAAGCCCUGGAAACGGGGUCUAAUACCGGAUAUCACCUCCCGAGGCAUCUUGGGGGGUUGAAAGCUCCGGCGGUGCAGGAUGAGCCCGCGGCCUAUCAGCUUGUUGGUGGGGUGAUGGCCUACCAAGGCGACGACGGGUAGCCGGCCUGAGAGGGCGACCGGCCACACUGGGACUGGGACACGGCCCAGACUCCUACGGGAGGCAGCAGUGGGGAAUAUUGCACAAUGGGCGCAAGCCUGAUGCAGCGACGCCGCGUGAGGGAUGACGGCCUUCGGGUUGUAAACCUCUUUCAGCAGGGAAGAAGCGCAAGUGACGGUACCUGCAGAAGAAGCACCGGCUAACUACGUGCCAGCCGCCGCCGUAA